This 495-nucleotide ribosomal RNA is filed under the name uncultured bacterium. Its description in RNAcentral is "partial 16S ribosomal RNA". It matches the Rfam family "Bacterial small subunit ribosomal RNA", at positions 28 to 507 of the family's 1533-position model. The record is from RNAcentral.
GACGAACGCUGGCGGCGUGCCUAAUACAUGCAAGUAGAACGCUGAAGGAGGAGCUUGCUUCUCCGGAUGAGUUGCGCACGGGUGAGUAACGCGUGGGUAACCUGCCUGGUAGCGGGGGAUAACUAUUGGAAACGAUAGAUAAUACAGCAUAACAGUAGAUGUUGCAUGACAUUUGCUUAAAAGGUGCAAUUGCAACACUACCAGAUGGAACUGCGUUGUAUUAGCCAAGUGGUGAGGUAACGGCGCACCCAGGCGACGAUACAUAGCCGACCUGAGAGGGUUGUUGGGCCACCUGGGACCGAGACACGGCUCAAGCUCCCUCGGGGAGGCGCAGUAGGGGAACUUCGGCAAUUGACGGAAGGCCUACCGAGCAACGGCGGGGGAGGGAAGAAGGGUCUCGGGUCGGAAAGGUCCGUUGUGAGAGAAGAACGAGUGUGAGAGUGGAACGUUCACACUGUGACGGUAUCUUACCAGAAAGCGACGGCUAACUACGUG